UACGUAGGUGGCAAGCGUUGUCCGGAUUUACUGGGCGUAAAGAGCGCGCAGGCGGUCGUUCAAGUCGCGUGUGAAAGCCCCCGGCUCAACUGGGGAGGGUCACGCGAUACUGAUCGACUCGAAGGCAGGAGAGGGUAGUGGAAUUCCCGGUGUAGUGGUGAAAUGCGUAGAUAUCGGGAGGAACACCAGUGGCGAAGGCGACUACCUGGCCUGUUUCUUGACGCUGAGGCGCGAAAGCUAGGGGAGCAAA
Molecule: ribosomal RNA, 250 nt
Filed under: uncultured Chloroflexota bacterium
Lineage: Bacteria; Bacillati; Chloroflexota
Description: uncultured Chloroflexi bacterium partial 16S ribosomal RNA
Rfam family: Bacterial small subunit ribosomal RNA
Source: RNAcentral